Long non-coding RNA from Artibeus jamaicensis (Jamaican fruit-eating bat), 450 nucleotides. RefSeq lists it as uncharacterized. The record is from RefSeq and is a predicted model, not a curated record. NCBI's taxonomy places the organism in Eukaryota, Metazoa, Chordata, Mammalia, Chiroptera, Phyllostomidae. The transcript has 3 exons.
GUGCUGCCCCAUCAGACCGACUGCAAGCACUGCCUGAGGGAAAGAGUUGAAGCAGAAGAUAGGAAAGCCUGGGGUUGAGUUUUGAAAAGCUGACGAUGUGGAAUGAAUGGUGAGAGAGUGCUAACUUCUGAACUUGUUGAAGCUGAGAGAUCAUGGACAUCUGCCCUCCAAGAUUCCUCAAGUGUCCAGGAGAGGCACGUCUCAUCCCCAUCCAUUCUAACCCCUGAAUGCCCGGAAGACAUCCCUUGCGAUGGUGGGAAAAGCUUCCAGGGGAAGCAUCAGUGAGUCCACCCUACGCGUCUCCUUCCACUCAGUGUCUACAACAGAGAGCCUUGCAAAGCAGGGUUUCUGAGGUCCGUUUCUGACUCCUACGUGGGACAUGCUGCCCCCGACCGAAAGGUGAUGAACUAACUCAGAUUCCAGAACUUGCCAUAACUCGACAAGUCCCUG